AAGUGAUGGAUAUUUACCUCCACUUCGGUGAAUAAUUGUUAAAUAUCAAAUUUUUGAACAGGGAAAAGUGUUGAUUUUUCUGUGUAAUCUGAUUCAACUUUAGGGUUCCACAGUUGGACCUGGGAAACCUUGCAGAUGACAACAAUCAGUUGCUCCAGCCAGCCACAGUUGAUGGCCCUCAUUUACACACACCAGACUCUAACAGCAGCCUUAUAAGCUGGGGAACUCCUCUUCAUAGCUCACGAUUUCCUCCUAGUCCUGCAAAACCAAAAGGAGGUGGCUGGCAGGUUCAACAAUCUUGCGCCACUCAGUUUCAUAAAAAGCCAAAUGACACGCCAGCUCUUGAUCUGAGAAAGUCACAUGGGGAUGAUGGCCUGAAUCAGGCUUUUCAGGCAGGGAAAGACGAUGAUAGGGACAAAAAUCAUGGUGUUCAGUUUGAAGAGAAGCCAGUCAAGGUUAAUGAUAAUAAUAAAAAGUCUAGUUAUUUGCUAGCUUAGUUUAUAAUUAAAUUUAUUAGUUGACUUAUUGCUUUUUCUAAAAGAUGUGUUGCCCAGUUAUUCAGAUAAAUAGACAAGCUUUAAAUUCUAUUUUUUUCAAAACUGCCUCUUCCAAGUUUACAAGACCACAAAUUGUUUUACAAUGUGCUGGACUAUUGUGACACAUUUGGAAAGAUCUGCCUUUACUUGUUAAUGUCAUAGUCUUCCAUUGAUAUGAUUUCUGCCAUCACAAUAGGUGUCUAAGCCCUGUUAUCAAGGAUCCAGUUAAAUUGUCAUGUGCAAAGGGUAAAAAACCCUGCCUUUUCACUGAAUAAGUUUCUAUCCAGUGGAUAAGUUAUUUUUCGGAUCAUUAGUGCAUAUUGUAGUCGACGUCCAACACGCUACUUGGCCUUUAACCGUUAAGACGAAAUGUACAAUUUAAUGAGUGCGAACAGAAGCGAUGAAAAGGGAGCGGUUGCUACAAACAAAAUAAAUUACAAGUUAUAGACGAAUACAAUGAAAGAAACAGAAAUAGUGAGCCGAAGGUAGACGAUACUUACAAACGUUGUAUGACUAGGAAGCUGAGGUACACGUAAAAAAAGGAAAACGGCACGCCGGUAAACGAGAUGAGAAGACAGUAGCGUCGCGAAGAAAAUGCACAAAUAAACUAGAAAGAUGCAUACAAAAGGGAACUGAAACAAAGCAAAAUUAUGCGAAAAAACCUAACAGAACAUCAAUAACAUGAAAGUGAGAUAAAUGAAAAGAAUGCAAUGAUCACGAAAGAAUGCACGCACAAAUGGACAAAAUAACAAUUAAAUGCGGCUGCAACAUCUGGCUCCUCUAAGAGUUUACUAAAACUCUUAAGUUCUCAGUUUUAACGUUAAAGUUCAUAACACAGUUCUCUACUCCUUAUGGCUCCUCUGGCUGGGAUUUACCCUGGUCUUCAUUUUUCAUUCUCCAGUAUCAGCAUGAGUUUGUCGAUUGGCAGAUCUAGGGUUGUUGUUGCCGUGGUAACUCUGACCGAUCUGACCUGUCCAUUUGAAUCCAGGUGUACGUCGACAACUCGGGCCAUGCUCCAGUCGUUUCUUGAGGCUCGAUCAUCUACGAUCAGUACCAGGUCUCCCUUUUCGAAGUUUCUUCGGGGGCGGUUCCAUUUUACUC
Molecule: long non-coding RNA, 1637 nt
Organism: Orbicella faveolata
Lineage: Eukaryota; Metazoa; Cnidaria; Anthozoa; Scleractinia; Merulinidae
Source: RefSeq, a predicted model, not a curated record